Molecule: ribosomal RNA, 468 nt
Filed under: uncultured bacterium
Lineage: Bacteria
Description: partial 16S ribosomal RNA
Rfam family: Bacterial small subunit ribosomal RNA
Source: RNAcentral
GACGAACGCUGGCGGCGUGCUUAACACAUGCAAGUCGAACGGAAAGGCCCUGCUUUUGUGGGGUGCUCGAGUGGCGAACGGGUGAGUAACACGUGAGUAACCUGCCCUUGACUUUGGGAUAACUUUAGGAAACUGGGGCUAAUACCGGAUAGGAGCUCCUGCUGCAUGGUGGGGGUUGGAAAGUUUCGGCGGUUGGGGAUGGACUCGCGGCUUAUCAGCUUGUUGGUGGGGUAGUGGCUUACCAAGGCUUUGACGGGUAGCCGGCCUGAGAGGGUGACCGGCCACAUUGGGACUGAGAUACGGCCCAGACUCCUACGGGAGGCAGCAGUGGGGAAUAUUGCACAAUGGGCGGAAGCCUGAUGCAGCAACGCCGCGUGCGGGAUGACGGCCUUCGGGUUGUAAACCGCUUUCGCCUGUGACGAAGCGUGAGAGACGGUAAUGGGUAAAGAAGCACCGGCUAACUACGUG